Molecule: ribosomal RNA, 527 nt
Filed under: Sirocalodes mixtus
Lineage: Eukaryota; Metazoa; Arthropoda; Insecta; Coleoptera; Curculionidae
Description: partial 16S ribosomal RNA
Rfam family: Bacterial large subunit ribosomal RNA
Source: RNAcentral
AAAAACAUGGCCUAUCGAAUAUAAUUUUAGGUCUAGCCUGCUCAAUGAAUUUUAAAUGGCCGCAGUAUCUUAACUGUGCAAAGGUAGCAUAAUCAUUAGUUUUUUAAUUGAAAGCUGGAAUGAAAGGUCGGAUGAGAAAAUAGCUGUCUCUAUAAAAAUUUUUUAGAACUUUAUUUUUAAGUUAAAAAGCUUAAAUUUUUGUAAAAGACGAGAAGACCCUAUAGAGUUUUAUAUUUGUAUUUAAUGUAUCUUUUAGUAUUAUAAAAUUUAUUAAAUUAUAAUAUUUGGUUGGGGUGAUUGGAAAAUUAAGUAAACUUUUCUUUAAGUUAAACAUUAAUUUAUGAACAUUUGAUCCUUUUUAGAGAUUAUAAGAUUAAAUUACCUUAGGGAUAACAGCGUAAUUUUUUUUGAGAGUUCUUAUCGAAAGAGAAGAUUGCGACCUCGAUGUUGGAUUAAAAUAAAUUUUUGGUGUAGGAGCUAAAUAAAUUAGGUCUGUUCGACCUUUAAAAUUUUACUUGAUCUGAGUU